This 2360-nucleotide long non-coding RNA is filed under the name Lupinus mutabilis. Its description in RNAcentral is "partial ncRNA". The record is from RNAcentral. Lineage: Eukaryota; Viridiplantae; Streptophyta; Magnoliopsida; Fabales; Fabaceae.
UCCUUCUGACACCGCUGAAUGUAACGAUGAUUCUAACCGCCACCACGCCGUUAGAUCCAAGGUUCGUUUUCUCUGUAGUCUCUAUCUCCUUCUCUCUCUCUCUCUCUUUGUUGAUCUGUUUUCUUUGCGUGUCACACUCGUGUUGUUUUACCUUUAUACCCUUCUCUCUUUUUUAGUGCACUCGCCUCCGCCAUUGGCUUCAAACGGUGGCGAUGUCUCCGUGAGGUUCGAGACAUUCUUGUCUUCCAAAUAACUUUUCCUUUCACUUUUACCGUUUUGACCUUCUUCUCUUUCCUCGAAUGCGUUGAGGCAAACGGUUUUCGUUUUCGAUUUUCCGCUGACGUCAGCAAAUGCCUCCACGUCUUUUUUAAUUCCAUUUUUUUUGUAAAAUUAUAUUCCGCACACCGAUCCGAUAAAUGGUGGCAGUUUCCGUUCCGUUUGGCGAGUUUCUUUUUAUUUUGUGGAUUUAUUCUGACGGAAAUACCCCUGUACGUUCGUGACACGCGUGAAGUAAGUAGUACUAGAAGUAAGGAAGAGAGGUUGACGUUUUGUUCUAGGGUAACUCGUCUGUCAUUCUAUAUUCUCCGAUCUAUUUACAAAAACACCCUUCCUUUGGGAUAGAAAGUUUGGGGUGUUUUGGUCAAUUAAAAUAAUAGAAUGGGUGGGGCCCUAUUAUUUCUCUCAUCUCUCUGCGAUUCUAAUUUAAAUCUUAUGAGACGUGAAAGUUGAAACACAUAGCGUUAUUAAUAACACAGCAAUGGCACUUUUAUGAUGUGGAAGGGGUUAUAAACCAGUGUCACGGGUACGACGGUGAAGGGUAGUUGUAGUUGGUUGGUGCCUUCAACACCACGCAGUAUUUGUGGGCCCAUGGGCCCACUUCACCUCACCUCACUGGAGGCGUGCUUUCCUUAUUGCUUAAUGCCUUAUUUUCUACAUUUUUGUUUACAGAAAAUAUGAAUUUAAAUUGAAUGAUGAAAUAGGUGGUGGUUAAUAAUAAAGUCACGUGAGCAUUCUAUGACGUGGCUUAAAAUGUGAGUCACGGAAGAAUAAUCAAUGGGCUAUACUACAUGAGAGUGUAUAGCCACGUCGUUGUCACUUUUCAUUGACCUGCCACGUGUAUAAUAUUGGUGAAUAAUGUAUUUUUGUAUUUAAGUUUAUUCUAGAUCAUUGUAGUUACAUUACCUUAUUUUAUGGGAAAUGUUAUCAUUCUUGAGUUCACAUCUAAUAAUGUAAAUGGAAACAAUUUUUCAGGCUACUGCUACAAGUGGAUAUACGGGCAAUUCUGCUUCUACUAAAAAGUGCAGAAGAAAAAAGACUUUUGCAGAACUAAAGGAAGAGGAAAGCACUCUUCUAAAGGAAAGGGUAUAUUUAGAAAAGGUAUCUCUCCCCUCUUUAAUAUUUUCUUCACUCAUUUUCAGAUGGGCAUGCAUGAUUACUAAUGUUACUCUUAUUUUGCAGGAGAUAGCAAAUAAAAAUGCAAACUUUGAGGCAGAAAGAGCUUUAAACGAGAGAAUGAAGAGGAUAAAGCUUGAUUUCGGUACAAAAUGGCAUAGCUAUCCUAGUAGUUCAACAUCUGUUGAAAAACUGCAGUGUACUACUCUUGCUGGUCAACCCCACCAGAGAAUAAUAGUACCUUUCGCCCCUAUCGAAGUCACAAAUGCAACUCAAGAUGAUUCUCAUUCACAAUCUUCACAAUCUAGGGAAGGCUUUUCCUUGAUACCAGAUCUAAACAUAAUGCCACCUGAUGAUGCUGGUUCUUACACAGAGGAUCUAUGUGGAAUGAGUUGAAUCCUACUUGGUUUCAUCCAACACUUGUGGUUGGAACUAGAACAAGUAUGGAACAAACAAUGUACAGAAUCCACGAGUACAUUUUGAAGGCUCUAUCUUUGCCUCAUACCCAAUGGAAAACACUGAACAAAGUCGUUCAUGAGAGACGUUUCUUGAUGCAACCUAACAACCAAUUCCUUUGAAAGGAAAAGAAGGUGCUAGUCAUAAAAAGUUUUAUUGUUUAGUUCUAGCCAUUAGGCUGUAGAGUAGAGAUGCUACUGUCACAUGUUCAUCAGUUUCUGAACCAUUCUUUGUAGGUUAAAAGCUUUGUUAGAUCUGGAUUCCUUCACAAGUUAUUUUAAUUCAUCAACAGUUUUAUGAAUCCAUUUUAUCAAUCUAUAUACAAGUUUAUCUCUUUGAAAAUGUUCUUAUAUGAAAUUCAUUCCUCUCCUAGAAGCUGAAGGGGCUACAUGGGCUGAAAGGAGUAGAACACAACCAACAAAAAAAUAUAAAUAUAUUUUCAUUUGUUGUUAGCUAAAGGCUAAUUUUCUUUUGUUCUCUAAUGGGCUCUCUACAAACUCACAAAGCCUGCA